Molecule: ribosomal RNA, 253 nt
Filed under: uncultured bacterium
Lineage: Bacteria
Description: partial 16S ribosomal RNA
Rfam family: Bacterial small subunit ribosomal RNA
Source: RNAcentral
UACGGGGGGGGCAAGCGUUGUUCGGAAUUACUGGGCGUAAAGGGCGCGUAGGCGGCUUACCAAGUCAGGCGUGAAAUUCCCGGGCUCAACCUGGGGGCUGCGCUUGAUACUGGUGAGCUUGAAUGCGGGAGAGGAUAGUGGAAUUCCCAGUGUAGAGGUGAAAUUCGUAGAUAUUGGGAAGAACACCGGUGGCGAAGGCGGCCAACUGGACCAUUUCUGACGCUGAGGCGCGAAAGCGUGGGGAGCAAACAGG